AUCUUAGUUAUUCUUAGGUUGAUUCCCUGGGAGAGCAUAAAUAGUGCCUAAGAUA
This 55-nucleotide transfer RNA is filed under the name Proasellus meridianus. The record is from RNAcentral. Lineage: Eukaryota; Metazoa; Arthropoda; Malacostraca; Isopoda; Asellidae.